CGCACGCAGGGUUUGCGGUGGCUGCAGAGUGGGAACCAGAGGACAAUGUGGGAAGUCGGGCAGUUGUAUGAGCACGCAGGGGGCAGGCGCAGAAACAGGAAGACCGGGAUUACAGUCCGCUUUAUAACUCUUUUGAAGUCGCCGGACCCAACUCGGGAAGCCUGCAGGCUGCGAGCGCGCUGAUCAAAGGUCCCUCUGCGGGCUCAAAUUAACACGGAACUGGCGAGCCGCGCAGCACCUGCCCGCAAAGAGCAGCGUGGCCGCAAAUCAGCUCAUCUUGUCCGGAGGUCGUUUGAUUCCAGCACAGUGCACACAGCGUGAAUCUGCAGAAUCCGCUGCAGAAUUACAGCCAGCUACCGCAGAGAAGCUGAACCCUUGGUAGUCGGCUUCCUCCCCCUAUACAGUAGUGACGUUUAAACUACCGUGUUGGGAAUUGAGCCUUGGACCUCUGCAAGCACGGAAUCUCUGAGCCCCAGCUCUUACUCUGACAUUUCACUGCUAUCCUGGAAUUACAGAAGAUACUAGAAAAAAAAAAAUCUACAGUUAAAAGUUAUUUUGAAAUAUUUAAAGGCUUUACAAAAAUUGUGAAGAAAAAAAAUUGUAUUUUUCUAUGGCAUCUUGAUCUAUGAUAUAAAUUGUGA
This is a long non-coding RNA of Arvicola amphibius (Eurasian water vole), 641 nucleotides long. RefSeq lists it as uncharacterized. The transcript has 3 exons. The record is from RefSeq and is a predicted model, not a curated record. NCBI's taxonomy places the organism in Eukaryota, Metazoa, Chordata, Mammalia, Rodentia, Cricetidae.